UAUUGCUUCAGCAAUACAAAUACUAAAAUUGGAACGAUACAGAGAAGAUUAGCAUGGCCCCUGCACAAGGAUGACACGCAAAUUCGUGAAGUGUUCCAUAUUUAU
Molecule: small nuclear RNA, 105 nt
Filed under: Octopus sinensis (East Asian common octopus)
Lineage: Eukaryota; Metazoa; Mollusca; Cephalopoda; Octopoda; Octopodidae
Source: RNAcentral